AGCACAAUAGCUCAGUGGUAAGAGCACCACAGUGUGAUUAUGGGAGGUCGCUGGUUCAAUUCCACCUUGUGCCA
This is a transfer RNA of Neolentinus lepideus HHB14362 ss-1, 74 nucleotides long. It matches the Rfam family "tRNA". Rfam says of the family: Transfer RNA (tRNA) molecules are approximately 80 nucleotides in length. Their secondary structure includes four short double-helical elements and three loops (D, anti-codon, and T loops). The record is from Rfam. NCBI's taxonomy places the organism in Eukaryota, Fungi, Basidiomycota, Agaricomycetes, Gloeophyllales, Gloeophyllaceae.